UGGGGAAUUUUGGACAAUGGGCGAAAGCCUGAUCCAGCAAUGCCGCGUGUGUGAAGAAGGCCUUCGGGUUGUAAAGCACUUUUGUCCGGAAAGAAAUCCUUGGCUCUAAUACAGUCGGGGGAUGACGGUACCGGAAGAAUAAGCACCGGCUAACUACGUGCCAGCAGCCGCGGUAAUACGUAGGGUGCAAGCGUUAAUCGGAAUUACUGGGCGUAAAGCGUGCGCAGGCGGUUUGCUAAGACCGAUGUGAAAUCCCCGGGCGUCAACCUGGGAACUGCAUUGGUGACUGGCAGGCUAGAGUAUGGCAGAGGGGGUAGAAUUCCACGUGUAGCAGUGAAAUGCGUAGAGAUGUGGAGGAAUACCGAUGGCGAAGGCAGCCCCCUGGCAAGUACUGACGCUCAUGCACGAAAAGCGUGGGGAGCAAAACAGGAUUAGAUACCCUGGUAGUCCACGCCCUAAAACGAUGUCAACUAGUUGUUGGGGAUUCAUUUCCUUAGUAACGUAGCUAACGCGUGAAGUUGACCGCCUGGGGAGUACGGUCGCAAGAUUAAAACUCAAAGAAUUGACGGGGGUCAUAGCUGUUUCCU
RNAcentral lists this ribosomal RNA (587 nucleotides) under uncultured bacterium. Its description in RNAcentral is "partial 16S ribosomal RNA". It matches the Rfam family "Bacterial small subunit ribosomal RNA", at positions 355 to 938 of the family's 1533-position model. The record is from RNAcentral.